AUCGCUUCUCGGCCUUUUGGCAAAGAUUAUGUGUAAUAUCUGUUCUUUUCAGCUUAAUAUCUGAAACGCUACUCAUUGAGUAGCUUCGAAUAUUAAACUGAUUUUUUUUAACUUAAGCUAUGGAACAGGAGCUUGCUCCGUCCUAACCACGGGUUGACCUGGUAUUGCAGUACAUUCAGGACCAGCCCAUCCUCU
Molecule: small nuclear RNA, 195 nt
Organism: Anneissia japonica
Lineage: Eukaryota; Metazoa; Echinodermata; Crinoidea; Comatulida; Comatulidae
Product: U2 spliceosomal RNA
Exons: 1
Source: RefSeq, a predicted model, not a curated record